CCUACGGGAGGCAGCAGUGGGGAAUUUUUCGCAAUGGGGGCAACCCUGACGAAGCAAUGCCGCGUGGAUGAAGAAGGCCUUCGGGUUGUAAAGUCCUUUCGUGGGGGACGAAAAGGCGGAUCCGAAUACGGUCUGCUAUUGACGUGAACCCAAGAAGAAGCACCGGCUAACUCCGUGCCAGCAGCCGCGGUAAUACGGAGGGUGCGAGCGUUAAUCGGAAUUACUGGGCGUAAAGGGCGCGUAGGCGGUGGGUUACGUCUGCCGUGAAAUCCCCGGGCUCAACCUGGGAAUGGCGGUGGAAACGGGCUGACUGGAGUAUGGGAGAGGGUGAUGGAAUUCCAGGUGUAGCGGUGAAAUGCGUAGAGAUCUGGAGGAACACCAGUGGCGAAGGCGGUCACCUGGCCCAAUACUGACGCUGAGGCGCGAAAGCGUGGGGAGCAAACAGGAUUAGAUACCCUGGUAGUCACGCCCUAAACGAUGGAUACCGGAUGUUUGGCGCCUUAAGUGCUGAGUGUCGUAGCUAACGCGAUAAGUAUCCCGCCUGGGAAGUACGGCCGCAAGGUUUAAACUCAAAGGAAUUGACGG
Molecule: ribosomal RNA, 585 nt
Filed under: uncultured bacterium
Lineage: Bacteria
Description: bacterial SSU rRNA
Rfam family: Bacterial small subunit ribosomal RNA
Source: RNAcentral